This 431-nucleotide ribosomal RNA is filed under the name uncultured bacterium. RNAcentral's name for it is "partial 16S ribosomal RNA". It matches the Rfam family "Bacterial small subunit ribosomal RNA", at positions 30 to 507 of the family's 1533-position model. The record is from RNAcentral.
CGAACGCUGGCGGCAGGCCUAACACAUGCAAGUCGAACGAACUCUUCGGAGUUAGUGGCGGACGGGUGAGUAACACGUGGGAACGUGCCUUUUGGUUCGGAAUAACUCAGGGAAACUUGUGCUAAUACCGAAUGUGCCCUUCGGGGGAAAGAUUUAUCGCCAUUAGAGCGGCCCGCGUCUGAUUAGCUAGUUGGUGAGGUAACGGCUCACCAAGGCGACGAUCAGUAGCUGGUCUGAGAGGAUGACCAGCCACACUGGGACUGAGACACGGCCCAGACUCCUACGGGAGGCAGCAGUGGGGAAUCUUGCGCAAUGGGCGAAAGCCUGACGCAGCCAUGCCGCGUGAAUGAUGAAGGUCUUAGGAUUGUAAAAUUCUUUCACCGGGGACGAUAAUGACGGUACCCGGAGAAGAAGCCCCGGCUAACUUCGUG